UUCGAUUCCUUUCCCUUUCCGUUUCCCACAAAUGUUUUUUCUUACAUUUCUUUUUUGUCACUUUUCUGGUGGGAAUCAGAUUCUACCAAGGUACUUCCUCCGUUUACGUUAUUAUUUUACUCCUCUUUUUUUUUUUUUUUUUUUUUUUUUUUUUUUUUUUUUUUUUGGAUUUUCUGCUGGACGUAACUUCCUCAAUUUAUAUUUUUCACUUGGGAUUUGUGGCGCAAAACUCCUUCUCUGUCUUUAUUGGGUUCAAAAUAUUUUAAAACCAAAGAAUAUUUUUGAACUAAGAAUUUAAGGUUAACUAUAUUUUAGUUACACAUUUCAGGUUUAAGGUCACGAAGUUUCUUUUCGUUUACAUUGCACCAUGGAGUUUUGAGAUUGUGUCAACUUCUAUGUUUGUUUAGAUGUCUAAUUAAUUAGUUUUUGUUUUUGUCAGAUUAACCUAUAUAAGUGUUCCUCGUUCUCAUUAUGCAUCAAUUUAAUGAAGAAUCAAAGAAUCAAUCAGAUUGAUUACAUAAAUUAGUAAAAUUUCGAUACUUUCUGAAUUAAUAUAAGAAAAUUAAAACUUCGUUUCCUAUUUUGUAUAUUAUCCCAAACAUGAAAGGUGUUAAAUUUUAUUAGCUAAAACUUUUAUUUGGUUAU
This 645-nucleotide long non-coding RNA is filed under the name Malus domestica (apple). RNAcentral describes it as "long non-coding RNA (MDOM_LNC014732)". Lineage: Eukaryota; Viridiplantae; Streptophyta; Magnoliopsida; Rosales; Rosaceae. The record is from RNAcentral.